This 3826-nucleotide long non-coding RNA is filed under the name Sus scrofa (pig). Its description in RNAcentral is "lncRNA (ENSSSCG00035059141.1)". Lineage: Eukaryota; Metazoa; Chordata; Mammalia; Artiodactyla; Suidae. The record is from RNAcentral.
GGCCAUUGGCCUCCUUGAAUCCUCUGGAGUCUCUGAAGAUCUGCAAAAGCCUUCUUGUCUUCCACCCCAUGGUGACAGGCAUGGGGGGAGGCAAGAGUGGCCAGGAAUUGUCCUCUCCCCUGCACUGCUGGUGUGGGGGAAACGUAGGCGGGACCUGAAGCGAUGCAGCCCCCCUGGGCAUUCUCACCUGGUGGCUGGCUCUUUCCUCUCUGGGACUGUUCUAGAAUCCCUGGAAAAGUCUGGGAGCAGAGGCUCCUCGCAGACUCAGCCCUCUGAGCCUCAGGAUGGGCCUCGGUCAAAUGGGGACCGCUCACACCUGGCCUCCAUUGUAUCCAAAUGUGAUUACACAUCUGGGCAGNCCCCCCCCCCCCCCCCGUCCCCGCCCUGCCUCAAGAAGGAGCGCAAGGCGAGCGAGACUCCUGGAGCCAAGACGACCUUCACCCUUGGGUUUUGUCCGCGUGGAGAAGACAGGUGCCACAGUCCUGCUAGGGUGGAGGGAAUGCUGGCCCCCGGUCUCUCUGGAGCGAGGGGACUCCACGGAUCGGGGACAGGAGACACGCGUCUCCAGCCCCGGGGCCCGGCUGUGCGCGCAGGAGGGAGGACCCAGAGCGGGCUCUGCCUGGGCUUGCCUGGGCUUGUUCAAAGCCAGGCUGCUUGCCUCGGUGACUGCGCGGAUCCGGGGAGAUUUCGAGAUUUUGCGGGAGCCUUGGAACCAAGCCCCGGGGAGGAGGCGGCUGGAAGCCCGCGCGACCUGCUCGCCCCGUCCAAGGGUGAGCCCAGUGGCUCUCCGAGGAGGCUCAGUGUAAUUGGCUGCCUUCUGAAGCAGGCGGUUGAACUUGAGCAGUGGUUGGGAUGCCUGGACCCGCUCCCCAGGCACCACCUGUGGCCUCACACUCAGCCAGUGCUGAGAGCUCCAUGCUCACUGUCGACUUGGCUGGACAAGAAGCUAGUUCCAGCCUCCAAGGACUCCAGUUGCCACCAGCCCCACUAGCCUCACCAGCUGUACCCAUCAGCCCCUGGUUAACACAUCAAACCAGAACCUCCUCGCACAAACUGGACAGUACCCCAGGGCUGCUCUCCCUGCUUCACCUGGGCUGGGACCUGGCAGAGCUCUGAGUCUUCCGGAUUCCAGCGUCCGAGGUAGCCAGUCUGCCGACUGCUGGCGUAAAGCUGCUUUCCCAAAAUAGCCACCCAGAGGGAAAAAAGCAGCCCUGGAAUUUGACCCUGACCAUCACCGAUCACUGGGAAGGCUUUUGUUCAGGCUCCUGGUCCACCUGGCCCCACCUCUGACUGUUACCGAGGCCCUGCCGGUGGGUAUGGGGGCUGGUGUUUUCUCUCUCCCCUCUCUCUUUCCCCUUCCCUUUUGCUCUUUUUUUCCAUCAGCUUUAGAUUGAGAAUUGAAAUGACGCAGGAGAGAUGUCGCAGUGCCUGAUUGGCUGGAGGGGGUGGGAGCAGGUCACAGGUGGGAAGCAGGCAGGGGAGGGGACCUGGGUGCGAGCACCUCUCUGCAGGUGAAUGCACACCUGUGGCGGUCCGGGCGCUGGCAGUGAGCCCUGGCCUGGCGGCGGCGGCAAUGACAAGCCUGGCGGGUCAGACAGGUGGAGCCAGCCCUGCGGUCAGAUACCCGGUCCCCCGUCAGCCCACAAGCCAGGUAACCCCCCUUUUCAUCUUUUCUGCUGGUUUUAGGCACUACUUACAACAUGAACAAGAGGGAGUUUCCCCAGGGGGGAAUUGUGAGUUUGAGGAGGAUAUGCUGUGUUUGUGUGCGGGAAACUUGGCUUCGGAGUUAGAAAAACAAGUCUAAUUGUAUUGGCCCUUGGCGCUGAAAAGCAAAUUUCUUAGGGAGCCUCGAAGCUGAAUGGCAAGUCAGGCAGGCAAGGUACAGAAAGGAUGAGAUUUUGUUUGGUUCCUGCAGAUGGAAAGCCUGUGGAAGACUCUCUCCUGGUGAGUGGGGCUGUUCCCUUUUCCAUAAGGAGCGUUUGGGCUGGGGGCUGCCUCACCUUCAGUCCCUACUCGGAAGCACGGGGAGUGCUGGGCUUCUAACUCCAAUUGGUGUUCCAGCCCUGGGGCUGGGUCUUAUUUGGAAGUUGUUUGAAGUUUCACAUCAGUGAAGGAGGCUUGACUUGUGAAAGCCAGUCUCCAGUGUCAUCAGGGGCAUUUUAUGUAGCCAGGGAAUUGUCCCCUGAGUCUUUGGGGGAACUUCCGGCCCGAGGGCAAGAAGGGAGGAGCACAGUCUAAGGACAAAACUCAGGACUCCCCACUCGAAACAGGGGCUGGUUUUGACCUCUCUGACAUCCUUGAAACACAUAUACUGCCUUCCCUCAGCCUCCUGUGCCCUUGCCUGUCUGCCAGCAUCAUGGACCCUCACCCAGAUGCAUACCUGGCAGAGAGGCCCCUGGGGAGGGCAGAGCAGAGCAGCUGCCAUGGUCAUGAUCUUCUCAAGCUGCCCUGCGCUUUGCAGGGAGAGGACAGGGAAGCUGUUUCUGAACCUUUUGUGACAGAGACGUUUUUCGGUUGUGGUUUUCUUUUUUAUUUUAUUUUUUUAAUUCCAAGGUAAUUUGUGGUGCCCCAAUUGCUUAGAUUAUGAGAAGUAUCAAUUAGGAUUCCUUCCUCUGCAAGUGGGAGAAAACUCUACUCAAGAUGAUUUAAAUUCUCAGAACAUUAAAAUUUUGAUAAAACCUAAGUGCAGACCUUGGGCAGCUUCAUGACGGGUUACAUCCAGGGCUCACGAGGUCAAGGCAUUAGGCUCGCUCCGUAGGUCUGCUCUCUGGCCAGCUUCCCUCCCCACCGGCUCUACUUGGGGUCUCAUUUAAAAUGAGGAAAACUUUCCUGAGCCCCCGCCUCCCCGACUUUCCCACGCAUCUCACUGGCCAGAAUUAGGCCUCGUCUUCAGCCCCAGCCAAUCAGAGACAAGGGGAGGAGUUACUGUGUUGGAAUUGGUGAGGCCCAUCCUGACCAGGAAGAGGAGAGUGAAUUACCAAACCAAAUGUGGGCCUGUGAACAGGAGGACAAGAGGGUGUGGGUUUGGGGCAGUAUCUGUUGCAUUGGACAGUUAUUCAGAUUUCUAACUGAUUUGGGGACAAGACAACAACUCUUACUCCUGAAAUACAUAUAUUUCUUUAUAUGCAAUUCUUAAUGCCAGGACAGGUUUUUUUUAUUUAUUUUCACAUGCCCAUGCCAUGUGAAAUUUCCUGGGCCAGGGACUGAACCCAAGCCACUGCAGUGACAAUGCUAGAUCCUUAACUGUAGGCCCCCAGGGAACUCCCAAGAGCUGUUUUUAACAGUCCUGGUGUCCACUCUUAGCCUUUCACCUCCCAAGAGGCCCACUUCCUUAAGCAUCUGCCUGGUGGUUUUUAAGUGUUAGAGCCUUUCCCCUUCUUGGUGAACCUGCUGCCUCCCAGAGUUGGCUGCUCAAGGCUUCAUCCCCAAGAACCUAAUAGAAGUAAGAGUUGUAAAUAUUAAGGACACAUUUCCAGUUAUGCAAAGAGCAGAAGAGGCACCAGGGUUCUGGCUGAGAGCGUCCCAGAGCCAGCAGUGCAUCUGCCACUCACCCAGAACCCUGUGGGAUCUGCAGGGGACCGGCCUGCCCCAGCGUCAGCUCCCAGAGACUUGAUGGAGUUUUCCCUUUUCUCCAGGCCAGGCACAGGGAACUCCUGAAACUUGGGGAAAACGGGAGUGCUGGCUGCCCACCUGGGAAAGCUGGUUCCAAUGGACAUGAACCUGACUUUAAUUUUUGAGACUGAAAACAUCCAAGUCAGUCUUUUUUUGCCCCAUCUCUGAGACCUCACUCGUAACCUUGGCCAAAGUCACCUGUAGAUCUGGCCAA